Molecule: long non-coding RNA, 287 nt
Filed under: Olea europaea (common olive)
Lineage: Eukaryota; Viridiplantae; Streptophyta; Magnoliopsida; Lamiales; Oleaceae
Description: long non-coding RNA (OEUR_LNC015049)
Source: RNAcentral
CAAUCAAACACAAUAAUUUACAAUUCCAAAAAAAUAAUUUUUAGACAAUUUAAUUUCCUAGAAUUUGUUUUUUUCUAGUCAAAUUUCAUCUUUACAAUCAAACGGAUCCUAAAUGAAAAUUUUGUGCAUAACCAGCCAAUAUAUAAUUAGGCCUGAUCCAACGACUGAGAUAAAAUGAAUACAUGUAACAGGUAUAAUGGUACGAAUUCAACAAAACCAAAAGGAUGUGUUGAGCGUUGUGUUCUCCAUCAAUAAUCAUUUAAACGACUAUUCUCUUGGGGUGGGGG